GAAAUGCGAUAAGUAGUGUGAAUUGCAGAAUUCAGUGAAUCAUCGAAUCUUUGAACUCACAUUGCACCCCUUGGUAUUCCAUGGGGCAUGCCUGUUCGAGCGUCAUUUGUACCCUCAAGCUCUGCUUGGUGUUGGGUGUUUGUCCCCGUCUCCGCGCGUGGACUCGCCCCAAAGUGAUUGGCAGCCGGCGUACUGGUCCCGGAGCGCAGCACAUGUCGCGCAAACGAGUGCCUUGGUACGGCGGCGUCCAUAAGCCCCUCUCUCACGCUCUUGACCUCGGAUCAGGUAGGGAUACCCGCUGAACUUAAGC
RNAcentral lists this unclassified non-coding RNA (310 nucleotides) under plant metagenome. RNAcentral describes it as "partial contains 5.8S ribosomal RNA, internal transcribed spacer 2, and large subunit ribosomal RNA". The stretch from base 1 to 105 matches the Rfam family "5.8S ribosomal RNA", at positions 50 to 154 of the family's 154-position model. The record is from RNAcentral.